UUGGGGGUUCGUUCCUUUUCCUCACUGAGUCGCCUCUGUCUGAAGAGUGGAACCCCCUUCCUCCCUAGUUCCCAUGUUGAAGAUCAUCUCCGUAGCCUCCGGGUGGUGUGGCUGACAUCUAGCUGGAUGCAGUGGAUGAUUCUGGAGGACCUCUUGCCCUUCUCCUUCAUGACCUGUAGGGCAGGGCCAAGAGGAGGAAGCAGCCUCAGAACAGACAAAAGACUCCCUGCCCCAAACGGCAGUCAUCCCACAGUCAGCACUUCUGGAAGGAAGGAAGGAAGGUUUCCUUCUGCAGAAAGCUCCUUUUUACCUUGUUUCUGACACCAGGGAGGGUCAGCAGAGCCCAGCGCACCUGUGGUGCCUGAGUUACCAUCUAUGCCCAGGAUGUGCG
RNAcentral lists this long non-coding RNA (391 nucleotides) under Homo sapiens (human). Its description in RNAcentral is "HSALNT0237671". Lineage: Eukaryota; Metazoa; Chordata; Mammalia; Primates; Hominidae. The record is from RNAcentral.